RNAcentral lists this ribosomal RNA (253 nucleotides) under uncultured bacterium. RNAcentral's name for it is "partial 16S ribosomal RNA". It matches the Rfam family "Bacterial small subunit ribosomal RNA", at positions 524 to 776 of the family's 1533-position model. The record is from RNAcentral.
UACAGAGGUCCCAAGCGUUGUUCGGAUUCAUUGGGCGUAAAGGGUGCGUAGGUGGCGCCGUAAGUCAGGUGUGAAAUCCCGGGGCUCAACCCCGGAACUGCACUUGAUACUGCGGUGCUCGAGUACUGGAGAGGAGAUUGGAAUUUACGGUGUAGCAGUGAAAUGCGUAGAUAUCGUAAGGAAGACCAGUGGCGAAGGCGAAUCUCUGGACAGUUACUGACACUGAGGCACGAAGGCCAGGGGAGCAAACGGG